GGGAGCCAUGCUGUCCCCAUAGCCCAUAAAUAUUCUGACAGGGAGUCAGAGACAUCUGUAGAACUCUGUUUUGUUUAGUUCCAGACAAUUUGAGGUUGGCUACAGAAAUUCCUGCAGCAAACACAUCGCAGUUGAGAAAGAGCUCAUGGUACCAUGCUUCUUCAGUCUGAAACAGAAGAUCUUCUAGCAUUAUGGGUAAAAAUGAGCUCACUGUGCAGCAGCCAGCUGGCGAGCUGUGAGCACAGACAUGCACCACCACUUUCAGUGCUCUGCAGCUGGGACAGGAGGAUCGCUGGGACUUUCUGAAUGCCAGCCUGGCUCUAAUCUGACCGCGGAGAAGCUCCUGCUUGUGUCAGGAAGAAACAAGCACACCGACUUUACUCUAGUGCUUUAGGACACUGACAAACUGGGAAGGAUGUGAUGUCCCUUCAUGAGAGACGGGAACGUUUCUCAGCGGAGUGCAGGGUGGGCGAAACUUAGAAGAGCAUUCCAAGCACGGGCUGGGAGACAAAGACAGGAGAAGAACGAUACACAUGCAAACAGGGAACAAUCCUCACAGGCCUUGCUGAUAACCUUCCUGCUUAUUGACCUUAGUCUGAUUGGUAAGCAAUACAAUCUGCACCAGCAUGCAUGCUGUUCCUGGCUCCAGCGUAAGGUGAGUUGGGUUUGUUAUGGACCUGUUCUCACCCAUGAUCUGUGAGAAGUAACGUAAGCCCCACUGGAGGCCACACCCCUAAUUUCCAGACCCUAAAACGCACUUCGCUUUACUGUGAACAUUGUAUGAGUCUGAAAGAUAGUGAUGAACAGUGCCUGCCACCAUGUGAAAGGCUCGAUAGUAUGGGGAAAUCCAAAUCUUGACUUCUGUAUGACGCUGGGCCGUUUCUUGUCAUUACCACAUGUAUGCAGGGCCCGCAGAUGUCAGAAGAGGACAUUGGAUCCCCUGGAACUGAGGUUAUUGACAGUUAGGAGACAUCAUAUGGAUGCUGGGCCGUGAACUCCUCUAUUCUGAGUGAUACACCAACAUUGCCAUCACUACCUUCUGAUCCCCUUCCCUUCUGACCCCCACUAUUCUACCCUGUUGAACCCUGCCACCCUCACUGCUGCCAGCAACAGUUCUAAGUCAACAGCUCCCUCUCCUAAGAGUCUAAAGAAAAUGUCAGAAGUACCAGACCAUCUGAGGGCAGAUGUCGCUCUCAGUCCAAAUGUCUGACACUUUCUGCUCAGCAGGCUCUGAAGAAAUCCUUAUCGCCUGAAUGCCCUUCUGUUUCCCUGCACCUAGAGGACUCUACUUGUCCUUCACAGACCAGCACGGGGACCAGCUCCUCCCGGAAGUCUCCCACGGUCUGCUUUUCCUACUACUCCCGUCUGGUGUGAGAGUUCUCUGAGCGUCACCUGAAAGUCAGCUGCUUUCCUAGAGUGCUAGUUUCUUAGCGUUCUCCCCUCCUUAACCUCUUGUUUAUGGAGGGCCGGAGGGCCAGAGGGCCCAGGAGGUGCCUGCUGCUAACCUUUGGGGCUGUAACUGGUAACAGAGUGAGCAGAUGUUCAUUAUUUUAGGUGCGAAUGAAGAAGCUUAUUGAUCAAUCACUGGUCAUAUCAGUCAUCACCUUUUAUAUAUAUACAUAGAACCGAGCAAAAGUAAACUGAUCACUUAAUUGAGCAAUUUAAAAUUAGAAUCUUAAAUGUUUGCACUGAGUUUGCAUUUUGCGGUGGUGUGCCUGCGGAGGAGGGAGAUGGCCAGAGCAGGACAUUAGGUGUCUUCUUCUAUUUCUUUUCCUUACUUCCUGGAGGCAGGGUCUCUCACUGAACUGAAGCUUACCAUUUUGACUGUUUUGGCCGAGCAGUGAGCUGUGACUUCCGAUGCUGGGGUUACAAACAUGUGCUGCUAUGCUCAGCUCUUCGUGUGAGUGCUGUGAUUUGAACCCAGGUCCUUACGCCUGCAUAGCAAGUGCUCUACCCAGCCCCUUAGAUUUUUGAUGAGAAAAUAUUUCAAAUUCUGUUUUUCUGUGAUAGAAUUGUGGGAUUUUUUCCCUUAACAUUAUUUACCCCACACUGCUUUUUAAAAUGUAGUUUCUUACUCUAAAGGGGGAAAUGGUAAAUUUAUUUUUCAGAUUGAUACCAGUCAUUUAACUCUAAGCAGCAGGGUCACAGAUAGCUAUUCUACUCCAGUAGUAUCAGAGCAGCCACAGAUGGGUAACUGCAUAGCUGUGUGACAAUAAAACUUUAUUCAUAAACACAGGAGACCAGUUUCAGAGUAUAAAACAAAGGGUCAGAGCAAGCAAAGUGCAUGUGUUUUAAAAUAACAGAGACCACCAAAUGCUUGAUGCAGCCUUGUCCUGGGGAACACAUGGCUUUUUUUUUGUUUGUUUGUUUGUUUGUUUCAAUCAAGCCAGGGAGGCACAAAACACAAGUGUUAGCACUCUGGAUCAUCAUAGAGAAAUGAGCUCAGAAAUCUGACUACAAGAUGCCUAUGGCUUUCUAUAUUUUUGUAUUAGGUUAAAAGAACAUGGGACUGCCGCUGAAAACACUUCAAAUACCCUACAUCUAACCCAUACACGAAGGAAUUCUUGCCUUCUUUCUUAAUAAACAUUUACUCACUGAAGAUGGGAACUUAAUUUCCAUAUAGCUUGUCUCGGGUAUAAAACCAAUAGCAAUACUGUCAGUGACCUUUUAUCCCAGACACUCCGAGCUCAGUGCUAAGGUUUUAUAAAAAAACAAGAACCUGCCUUUAUUAAGUAUUUUCUUAUGCCUGCAAAGUGUCAAGUGCUUUAUGAAUAUAUCUCCCGAGUUUCCCCCCUGAUCCCACACCGCAGUUAUAGUGCUUCCUUGUUACCCAAGAGGAAAUGAGGUUCAGAGAGGGGAAGUAAUUUGUACAAGGUCAGGCUUGGUCAAGUGAAGCCUGCAGACUCUUCAAGUCCUGAGCGCUGUGCCUUCUCUUCUGUGCCAGCUGCCUGUCCCAGAGGAGCUGAUCCAGCCACUUCUAGUCAUAAAUACCCCAGAUUCAGUUCAAGUUGCGUCCUGUUGGAGGCAAUGACUCCAUUCACGGUUUAUAGGAAAUUCUACCUUGGGGACCCUGGCGAGGCGAAAAUCUAACCCCAAGUAACAAACGGAGGGCUUUGUUAGAGCAUGCCACAGUUCACAAAAAGCAACAAGAGUUGAUCUUUUGUCAACAAUAUUCCUUCAUCACGUUCUAACUCACACAAGUGAGAUAAUUAAUUACCACAAUGCAUCCCAUCCAGGAGGGGUAUGAGCAGGACAGGCAAGCAGCUGAAGAAUGAGCUUUGAGGAUUUUGCCUAAAUGAUCAAGUUUUGUACCUGACAAAAAUCAAACGUAAGUCUUCGCUUAUACAGUGGGUCUUUGUCAAACAGUCUCAGGGGACCGCUCUUUCUGCUGUGUACUUAGCCCCAUUACUACAAAAAUGCCUUAUAGUAAAUACCGUCAUUAUUCAUAGUUGGUUGGCAAAUUAAAUCACUUGCUGUUCCAGCAUCUAGAAGUGGAGGAAGUGUUCAAUUCCAAA
Long non-coding RNA from Alexandromys fortis (reed vole), 3515 nucleotides. RefSeq lists it as uncharacterized. The record is from RefSeq and is a predicted model, not a curated record. NCBI's taxonomy places the organism in Eukaryota, Metazoa, Chordata, Mammalia, Rodentia, Cricetidae. The transcript has 5 exons.